Molecule: long non-coding RNA, 381 nt
Organism: Cydia strobilella
Lineage: Eukaryota; Metazoa; Arthropoda; Insecta; Lepidoptera; Tortricidae
Exons: 4
Source: RefSeq, a predicted model, not a curated record
UAAAUAGUGUAAAACAUUAAAAACACAAAACAUAACAAAAUGACCAUCGUUACCUAAUUAAUAUUGUUAUAUACUGAAGAAAAAUUGGGGUUUUGAAAGGAAGCGUAUAAAAAACAAUGCAUCCGAACACACAGGCGCAGACCAAUGUUUAUCAAAAUCCUUAUUUUGAUCAUCGUCUGCGCAGUACUUUAUAAGUUCGUGCUGUCCCACGGCUGCGGCGCGUCGUGCCAGAGGUCGCUGCGCGCAGGCGACCCUUCUACCUGCCACUGCGCGUGCGCCACGUGUCCCUGCUCGCCGUUACAGGCCUUCGAUUUUGUACCAAAUACAGUAGAGUAUUAUUACAAUCAAGGAAAAGAUCGCGUUAGGGAGUUCCAGCUACAG